GAUGAAGAACGUAGCGAAAUGCGAUACUUGGUGUGAAUUGCAGAAUCCCGUGAACCAUCGAGUCUUUGAACGCAAGUUGCGCCCGAAGCCACUAGGCCGAGGGCACGCCUGCCUGGGCGUCACACGCCGUUGCCCCCCCAUCUACUCCUUCGGGAUUGCGGGGGGGCGGAUGAUGGCCUCCCGUGCGCCUAGCCGCGCGGUUGGCAUAAAUACCAAGUCCUCGGCGACGCACGCCACGACAAACGGUGGUUGCGAAACCUCGGUUGCCCGUCGUGUGCGUUCGUCGCGCAUCGAGGGCUCGAAAAAAUGCUCGGCUCCGGCUGGGCUUUCAACGCGACCCCAGGUCAGGCGGGGUUACCCGCUGAAUUUAAGCAUAUCAAUAAGCGGAGGA
Molecule: unclassified non-coding RNA, 391 nt
Filed under: soil metagenome
Description: partial contains 5.8S ribosomal RNA, internal transcribed spacer 2, and large subunit ribosomal RNA
Rfam family: 5.8S ribosomal RNA (bases 1-122)
Source: RNAcentral